This 1893-nucleotide long non-coding RNA is filed under the name Drosophila guanche. Lineage: Eukaryota; Metazoa; Arthropoda; Insecta; Diptera; Drosophilidae. The record is from RNAcentral.
UAUCGGUAUGUGCAAGAGAGCUUUCUCUAUGUGCUCGCUUGCACAGCAAGCAGAGUGCGAAAAUGGGAAAAUUGUUAUUGCCGUCCAAAGAAGAGAGUGCGAAAAACCCGUGGCCUCCUCGCCUCUCCUCCCCUCCUCUGUGUAUGGAGCGUCGCCCAACAACUGGAUUCCGCGCCGGGAGACUCACCCUGAGCGCGUAUGUCGGUCUGGCUCGGUACGUACCCCUUCCUAUCGGGCACCUUCUCACUUUUACCCUUUUUCAGGCAGUUUCACCCACGGAAAAUUAUUUAGACGCUGGAGGAAAAACAAGCGCGUCCGAUCGCUUUCACUCUUCGACUCUGUAACGUGUGCCAGUGUGUGUUUGUGUGUGUGUGUGUGUAUGUGUGUUUGCGUCUGUCUCCCACCAUGACGCGUCGGCCUUUCGGGCAUUUUUAAUUGAUUUUAAAAUUUAUCAAACAGGAAGCAUCUCUUGAGCGGAGAGAACACGUUGGAAGCUCGCGCUCUCUGGCAACGGCUUUGGCUUUAGCUUUGCCUGUGGCUCUGGAUCGCACUGCGUGUCCAUUUAACGGCAUUUUACGGCGCAGAUCGCCAACCAGCUGGCCACAUUGUAGAAAGCGGACAGCAGCCAAAGUGUUUUCUGUCUCUACUGAUCGAUGUGGCGGGCGGUCUGGCUGUGGUCUGGCUGACAAUUUGUCAAUCGCUCGCCGCGCUCUACUUGGCUAAUUUAACUGCGGUUUUAAUUAGCCUGUCUGCUCGCUUUAAGCCUCUCGGGAUAGGAGACGAGUGAACGUUAAUAACAAAGGACUUCAGUGGCAAAGUGUCAGGUGACAGCAGCCAAGUAUGUACUUAUGUAGAUGGCGGUGCCAGGGAUUGUGCAAAACACCUUCUGGGCAGAGUGAAUUUGAAGGCAAGGAAAGCUUAAGUUGUCAUGCAAUAAUUUGUCCUGCUACCGUCCCCCCAAUAUUAAUUCCCUGACCCCAAAAAGAAAGCAUUAAACCCAGAGGUUUAAUCCAUUUUUAUUUCCGUCACAAAUUAAUGUUCGUGGUUCAUGUUCAGCCGAUGUCAGUCGUAGAUCCUUCGUCGUUAGCACCAUCCUCAUCCGCUUAUUCGAGCUUAAUUCUUAUAGAAAUAAUAAAAUUAAAACUAUUUUCUAUAUUUUCCAUAAUUUUGGGAUGUUUUUGCCCUUUUGCGGGGGCGGAACGGGCCGGGGCAAAUUUUUUAAAUACACUGGUCUCAGUGUGAGCAUACAGCAGUCUGGAUGCAAAAGCAGUUUGGUGGCUCUAGUCUCUGAGAACUAGCCGACAAACAAGACGGACAGACGGACGGACGGACUGCCGGACAGACAGACAGACAGACAUGGCUCUAUCGACUCGUCUAUUGAUGCUGAUCAAGAAUAUAUAUACUUUAUGGGGUCGGAAACUUUUCCUUCUGUGCGUUACAUACAACCGUUAUUCCCCACAAAUACAAUAUACCCUAUUUACUCUUCGAGUACCGGGUAUAAACAGCUUUAAAAGGCAACUCCUUGCGUCCGGGAGGUAAUGACCUCAAUGCAAGGAAUAACUCAAAAGAUAUAGAAGACUCUAACGAGGACACGUCUGGAUUCGUUUAGAAAUGUUCAGAUAAUAUAGUUAUGGAAAUUGUAUCCUUAUUCCUUGAUGUCCUUAAAGCGAAACCGAUUGAGUAUGAUCGGGGAAGUUACCCUGGAUACGAAAAGGUGUGGCAAGCCCAUAUCAGAUGAGAAAUGGCGAGGUUAAGGCACAUUCGAAAAUCGCACUUACUUUCAUGGUAGCCAGCUUUUGACACGCUGAAAAGGAAGCACCAAAUUUGAAAAUGUUCUGGUUUUUGGCCAGUUGAGCGUUCAGGUCCGUUACGAUCAGGAAAUUUAGGUGUUCU